Molecule: long non-coding RNA, 1326 nt
Organism: Culex quinquefasciatus (southern house mosquito)
Lineage: Eukaryota; Metazoa; Arthropoda; Insecta; Diptera; Culicidae
Exons: 3
Source: RefSeq, a predicted model, not a curated record
AUGUGUCAUUCAUAUAUCUCAAUGAAACAGAACAGAAGAUAACAAAAAAAACAGCAGAAAAUCACAAAAGUAAACAGAAAAAAAAUAAAAGUCAAGAGAAGAAAACAAAAAUAAAAAGAAACUCAACAGAAAACAACAGAAGACAUCAAAAGUCAACAGAAGACCAAAAAAAAUACACAGAAAACUUUUAAAGAUAUCAGAUGUCAACAGAAGACAACAAAAGACAUCAGAAGACAACAAAACUCAACAGAAGACAACAGAAGUCAACGGAACUCAACAAAGGUCAACGGAAGACAACAAUAGACAUCAACAGACAACAAAAGUCAACAGAAAACAACAAAAGUCAACAGAUGACAGAAAAAAAAAACAAAAAGAGAACUUUGAAACAUUUCAGAUGUCAACAGAAGACUACAAAAGGCAGAAAUCAACAGAAGACUACGAAAUAUAUCAGAAGUCAACAGAAGACAACAAAAGUAAACAGAAGACAAGACACCAAAAGACAACAGAAGGCAAAAAAUGACAGAAGAUUACAAAUGACAGCAGAAGUCAACAAAAGUCAACAGAGUUAAAAAGCGAUUGAUUUAUGAUUCAUCUACGAAUGUUGUACUUGUAAUUUCAUUGAAACUAUAUCCUGUUAAUUUACACUGUAUAUCAGGACAAGGAGGAAAUUUGCGGUUCCCUGCCACGCGGAACGAAAGCGAAAUUGACUUCAUUGAAAAAACGUUGAAAACCUGAUUCCCUCCUUCUUCGAUCACCCGGAGCAGGCCGGUUUUCAAAGUCUACUACGGUGGACCCUGGAGGUCAGACGGUGGAGGCCGGAAGAAAGGGCAUCCAAGUUACGUACGGACAACACGUUUUAUUUUUCGCUUGUUCCCCUCCUCGACCAGGGUUUUGCAGCUGGCCGGGAGUUCCAACCAGGUCUUUUGUGCUCUCUAUUGCAAGUUUCUACUCGAACCUCGAGUCAAAAGGCUUUAAUGUGGAAAGCAACCCAAUCCACCCCAGGACUCGAACUGACGAUUUUUGGAUUGCAAGUCCAACCGCCGAACAGCAACUCCACUGGAGCAGGCUUUGUUUGAUGUGUUGACGACUCCUACACCUGGAACUUAACGGUCUAUCAGCCACUAAGGCCGGGACCGAGUUUUACUUCCAGGUCCCAUGGAAGACUGGAGAAGAUGGGAAUCGAACCCAUGAUCAUCCGCUUACUAAGCGAACAGCGUAACAAUUCAGCCACGCCUGAUCCACUGAAUGAUCCACUGAAAAUAACACGAUCAAUAAGAAAUGAAAAAAAAAAACAAAUUUCUAAACAAAAUAAUAAUAAAAAUGGAA